GUGUCAGCCGCCGCGGUAAGACAGAGGUGGCGAGCGUUGUUCGGAUUUAUUGGGCGUAAAGCGAACGCAGGUGGUUUGGUAAGUCAGGGGUGAAAGUCCGCAGCUUAACUGCGGCACUGCCUUUGAUACUGCCUUUCUUGAGUGCAUGAGGGGGAAGCGGAAUUCCGAGUGUAGAGGUGAAAUUCGUAGAUAUUCGGAGGAACACCGGUGGCGAAGGCGGCUUCCUGGCAUGUAACUGACACUCAUGUUCGAAAGCGUGGGUAGCAAACAGGAUUAGAUACCCUAGUAGUCC
This 292-nucleotide ribosomal RNA is filed under the name uncultured bacterium. RNAcentral's name for it is "partial 16S ribosomal RNA". It matches the Rfam family "Bacterial small subunit ribosomal RNA", at positions 505 to 796 of the family's 1533-position model. The record is from RNAcentral.